UACGGAGGGUGCGAACGUUAAUCUGAAUCACUGGGCGUAAAGCGCGCGUAGGCGGUCUGUUAAGUGGGAUGUGAAAUCCCCGGGCUUAACCUGGGAAUUGCAUUUCAAACUGGCCGACUAGAGUACGGUAGAGGGAGGUAGAAUUUCCUGUGUAGCGGUGAAAUGCGUAGAUAUAGGAAGGAAUACCAGUGGCGAAGGCGGCCUCCUGGAUCGAUACUGACGCUGAGGCGCGAAAGCGUGGGGAGCAAACAGG
This 253-nucleotide ribosomal RNA is filed under the name uncultured bacterium. Its description in RNAcentral is "partial 16S ribosomal RNA". It matches the Rfam family "Bacterial small subunit ribosomal RNA", at positions 524 to 776 of the family's 1533-position model. The record is from RNAcentral.